RNAcentral lists this long non-coding RNA (210 nucleotides) under Elaeis guineensis (African oil palm). Its description in RNAcentral is "long non-coding RNA (EGUI_LNC054877)". Lineage: Eukaryota; Viridiplantae; Streptophyta; Magnoliopsida; Arecales; Arecaceae. The record is from RNAcentral.
UUCAUCCGGACUCCUACGGGAGCCAAACUUCAUCCCCGACUUCAAUUGUAGGUAGACUUCGUCCGGACUCCUACGAGAGCCGGACUUCAUCCCUGACUCUGACUGCAGGAGGACUUCAUCCGGACUCCUACGGGAGUCGGACUUCAUCCCCGACUCCGACCGCAGGAGGACUUCGUCUGGACUCCUACGAAAAUCGGACUUCAUCCCCGA